GGCUGUUUGGUCCAGCGGUAUGAUUCUUCCUUCUGAUGGAAGGCGUGCGGGGUUCGAUUCCCAGAACAGCCC
Gregarina niphandrodes is the source of this 72-nucleotide transfer RNA. It matches the Rfam family "tRNA". From Rfam's summary of the family: Transfer RNA (tRNA) molecules are approximately 80 nucleotides in length. Lineage: Eukaryota; Apicomplexa; Conoidasida; Eugregarinorida; Gregarinidae. The record is from Rfam.